Molecule: ribosomal RNA, 521 nt
Filed under: uncultured bacterium
Lineage: Bacteria
Description: bacterial SSU rRNA
Rfam family: Archaeal small subunit ribosomal RNA
Source: RNAcentral
AACCUCCGCAAUGUGAGAAAUCGCGACGGGGGGAUCCCAAGUGCCAUUCUUAACGGGAUGGCUUUUCAUUAGUGUAAAGAGCUUUUGGAAUAAGAGCUGGGCACGACCGGUGCCAGCCGCCGCGGUAACACCGGCAGCUCUAGUGGUAACAAUUUUUAUUGGGCCUAAAGCGUCCGUAGCCGGUUUAAUAAGUCUCUGGUGAAAUCCUGUAGCUUAACUGUGGGAAUUGCUGGAGAUACUAUUAGACUUGAGACCGGGAGAGGUUAGAGGUACUCCCAGGGUAGAGGUGAAAUUCUGUAAUCCUGGGAGGACCGCCUGUUGCGAAGGCGUCUAACUGGAACGGUUCUGACGGUGAGGGACGAAAGUUAGGGGCGCGAACCGGAUUAGAUACCCGGGUAGUCCUAACUGUAAACGAUGCGGACUUGGUGUUGGGGUGGCUUUGAGCUGCUCCAGUGCCGAAGGGAAGCUGUUAAGUCCGCCGCCUGGGAAGUACGGUCGCAAGACUGAAACUUAAAGGAAUU